GACGAACGCUGGCGGCGUGCUUAACACAUGCAAGUCGAACGGAAAGGCCCUGCUUGCAGGGUGCUCGAGUGGCGAACGGGUGAGUAACACGUGGGUGAUCUGCCCCUUACUUUGGGAUAAGCCUGGGAAACUGGGUCUAAUACUGGAUAGGACCAUGCUGUAGGUGGUGUGGUGGAAAGAUUAGUUUCGGUAAGGGAUGAGCUCGCGGCCUAUCAGCUUGUUGGUGGGGUAAUGGCCUACCAAGGCGUCGACGGGUAGCCGGCCUGAGAGGGUGGACGGCCACAUGGGGACUGAGAUACGGACCAGACUCCUACGGGAGGCAGCAGUGGGGAAUAUUGCACAAUGGGCGCAAGCCUGAUGCAGCGACGCCGCGUGGGGGAUGACGGCCUUCGGGUUGUAAACUCCUUUCAGCCAUGACGAAGCCCUUGUGGUGACGGUAGUGGUAGAAGAAGCACCGGCUAACUACGUG
This 469-nucleotide ribosomal RNA is filed under the name uncultured bacterium. Its description in RNAcentral is "partial 16S ribosomal RNA". It matches the Rfam family "Bacterial small subunit ribosomal RNA", at positions 28 to 507 of the family's 1533-position model. The record is from RNAcentral.